RNAcentral lists this ribosomal RNA (667 nucleotides) under uncultured Actinobacillus sp. Its description in RNAcentral is "bacterial SSU rRNA". It matches the Rfam family "Bacterial small subunit ribosomal RNA", at positions 99 to 762 of the family's 1533-position model. The record is from RNAcentral. Lineage: Bacteria; Pseudomonadati; Pseudomonadota; Gammaproteobacteria; Pasteurellales; Pasteurellaceae.
CGGACGGGUGAGUAAUGCUUGGGAAUCUGGCUUAUGGAGGGGGAUAACGACGGGAAACUGUCGCUAAUACCGCGUAAUAUCUUCGGAUUAAAGGGUGGGACUUUCGGGCCACCUGCCAUAAGAUGAGCCCAAGUGGGAUUAGGUAGUUGGUGGGGUAAAGGCCUACCAAGCCGACGAUCUCUAGCUGGUCUGAGAGGAUGACCAGCCACACUGGAACUGAGACACGGUCCAGACUCCUACGGGAGGCAGCAGUGGGGAAUAUUGCACAAUGGGGGGAACCCUGAUGCAGCCAUGCCGCGUGAAUGAAGAAGGCCUUCGGGUUGUAAAGUUCUUUCGGUGAUGAGGAAGGCGGUUGUUUUAAUAGAACAAUCGAUUGACGUUAGUCACAGAAGAAGCACCGGCUAACUCCGUGCCAGCAGCCGCGGUAAUACGGAGGGUGCGAGCGUUAAUCGGAAUGACUGGGCGUAAAGGGCACGCAGGCGGUGACUUAAGUGAGAUGUGAAAGCCCCGAGCUUAACUUGGGAAUUGCAUUUCAUACUGGGUCGCUAGAGUAUUUUAGGGAGGGGUAGAAUUCCACGUGUAGCGGUGAAAUGCGUAGAGAUGUGGAGGAAUACCGAAGGCGAAGGCAGCCCCUUGGGGAUAUACUGACGCUCAUGUGCGAAAGCGU